Molecule: ribosomal RNA, 876 nt
Filed under: Calopadia ruiliensis
Lineage: Eukaryota; Fungi; Ascomycota; Lecanoromycetes; Lecanorales; Ectolechiaceae
Description: eukaryotic LSU rRNA
Rfam family: Eukaryotic large subunit ribosomal RNA
Source: RNAcentral
CCGGGAUUGCCUCAGUAACGGCGAGUGAAGCGGCAACAGCUCAAAUUUGAAAUCUGGCCCCGCCCGGGGUCCGAGUUGUAAUUUGCAGAGGGUGUCUCGGGGCCGGCGCCGGCCCAAGUCCCCUGGAACGGGGCGUCGCAGAGGGUGAGAAUCCCGUCCGCGGCCGGCGACCCUACCCGUGUGAGACCCCUUCGACGAGUCGAGUUGUUUGGGAAUGCAGCUCUAAAUGGGUGGUAAAUUCCAUCUAAAGCUAAAUACCGGCCAGAGACCGAUAGCGCACAAGUAGAGUGAUCGAAAGAUGAAAAGCACUUUGGAAAGAGAGUCAAACAGUACGUGAAAUUGUUGAAAGGGAAGCGCUUGCGACCAGACCUGACCGGGGGCGAUCAGCGGCCGUUCUCGACCGUGCACUCGUCCCCGCGCAGGCCAGCAUCGGUUCGGGCGGUCGGACAAAGGCCGCGGGAAUGUAGCUCCCCCCGGGGAGUCUUAUAGCCCGCGGUGCAAUGCGGCCAGCCCGGACCGAGGACCGCGCUCCGGCUAGGAUGCUGGCGUAAUGGUCGUCAGCGACCCGUCUUGAAACACGGACCAAGGAGUCUAACAUCUGUGCGAGUGUUCGGGUGCCAAACCCGUGCGCGGAAUGAAAGUGAAUGGAGGUGGGAGCCCUGGAGGGCGCACCAUCGACCGAUCCGGACCUCUUGAGAUGGAUUUGAGUAUGAGCAUAGCUGUUGGGACCCGAAAGAUGGUGAACUAUGCCUGAAUAGGGUGAAGCCAGAGGAAACUCUGGUGGAGGCUCGCAGCGGUUCUGACGUGCAAAUCGAUCGUCAAAUUUGGGUAUAGGGGCGAAAGACUAAUCGAACCAUCUAGUAGCUGGUUUCUGCC